Molecule: ribosomal RNA, 434 nt
Filed under: uncultured bacterium
Lineage: Bacteria
Description: partial 16S ribosomal RNA
Rfam family: Bacterial small subunit ribosomal RNA
Source: RNAcentral
GGCGAACGCUGGCGGCAGGCCUAACACAUGCAAGUCGAACGAACCUUUCGGGGUUAGUGGCGGACGGGUGAGUAACACGUGGGAACGUGCCUUUAGGUUCGGAAUAACUCAGGGAAACUUGUGCUAAUACCGAAUGUGCCCUUCGGGGGAAAGAUUUAUCGCCUUUAGAGCGGCCCGCGUAUGAUUAGCUAGUUGGUUGAGGUAAUGGCUCACCAAGGCGACGAUCAGUAGCUGGUCUGAGAGGAUGAUCAGCCACAUUGGGACUGAGACACGGCCCAAACUCCUACGGGAGGCAGCAGUGGGGAAUCUUGCGCAAUGGGCGAAAGCCUGACGCAGCCAUGCCGCGUGAAUGAUGAAGGUCUUAGGAUUGUAAAAUUCUUUCACCGGGGACGAUAAUGACGGUACCCGGAGAAGAAGCCCCGGCUAACUUCGUG